GAUGAAUGCUGGCGGCGUGCCUAACACAUGCAAGUCGAGCGGCAGCGAGGGGUGCCUGCACCCUGUCGGCGAGCGGCGAACGGCUGAGUAACGCGUAGGAAUUUGCCCCAAAGUGAGGAAUAACUGCCCGAAAGGGUAGCUAAUGCCGCAUAUGGUCUUCGGAUUAAAGGAUUUAUCCGCUUUGGGAGAAGCCUGCGUUGGAUUAGGUUGUUGGUAGGGUAAUGGCCUACCAAGCCGACGAUCCAUAGCUGGUCUGAGAGGAUGAUCAGCCAGACUGGAACUGAGACACGGUCCAGACUCCUACGGGAGGCAGCAGUGAGGAAUCUUCCACAAUGGGCGAAAGCCUGAUGGAGCAACGCCGCGUGAAGGAUGAAGGCCUUCGGGUUGUAAACUUCUUUUAUGAGUGAAGAAUAUGACGGUAACUCAUGAAUAAGCACCGGCUAACUACGUG
Molecule: ribosomal RNA, 451 nt
Filed under: uncultured bacterium
Lineage: Bacteria
Description: partial 16S ribosomal RNA
Rfam family: Bacterial small subunit ribosomal RNA
Source: RNAcentral